This 1159-nucleotide long non-coding RNA is filed under the name Parus major (Great Tit). Its description in RNAcentral is "lncRNA (ENSPMJG00000004764.1)". The record is from RNAcentral. Lineage: Eukaryota; Metazoa; Chordata; Aves; Passeriformes; Paridae.
CCCAACAGCUUUUGUGCCAUGGGGUGAUACCGAAGUGGCUGAGAACCCAAAAGCUCAAGCUGAGCUGUUGAGUGGGGUCUGCUGACACGGUGGUGGCUGUUGAUACCCAGCACUGCUGCUCUUGUGGCAUCCUGUGGGAAAAUGUGGGAUCUGUCCCCUCCCCAGACCCAGGGUGCUGCUCACCCUCCUGGAGCCAGUCAGGAGGUGACAGCCCCAUCCUCCCCUCUCCUCUCACCCAGGCUGUCAGAUCCAAGUCAGGGAUAAUGAAUGGGCUGUUAGAGAAGACUGAAAAAAGAGAUAAAAUGAAGGAGAAAAGAGCUUCUGGUUGGAGCCACACAGGACAGACACUGACAAUCAAAACUCAUGGCUGCACACAGAUGUGGUCCCCACCUCUCUCUUGCUCCCUGUAUGGAUUUUGCUGCCUAUCUCACCACUUCUGAACAAUAUUAUUUAAAAAAAAAACCCAUGACCUGAGUAGCAACCACUCUCCUGCCUACCCAACAGUGCCCUAUAAACACAGGCCUUAUAAACACGGCCUGCAAAAUGUUCAGUGGAGUUUCUGCACUUGCAACAGGAGCCCAGGGCAGGGAUGAAGUCACCUUGAACUGAAUUCCCCCCAAAACCCCUGCUGGGGUUUCAAACCUCUGAUUUGGGCUUUGUCAGAUACAAACCAGAGCAGAAAGAUGUCUUAGACAAAAGGAGCAGGACUUGCUGUGUGGGACAAAGGAAGGAAAGCAGGCUGGGGGUGGCUGUAGUUAACACUUCUGCUCCUGAAGGCCUUUCAGACCCUGCAGCCAGGUGUGCUCAGAGACACCCACAUGCCCUAUUUCAAGGUCAACAUCAACUACAAAACUCCUGGUGUCCAGAUUUAGACUGGAAUCCAAAACACAUGAGGGACAAGUUAAUUCUGCCUGUGAUAAAAGGGAGGGGGGAGGCUGGCCAGCAGAUUUUGCUGUCGUUCCAGUAGCAAGUGGAAAGUCAAGGACUAUCCCCAAAGGAGGCCUAAUCAGGCCACAGAAUCACAAUUCGGGUUUCCACUUGGCAGGAAAUAUGUGUUAAAGCUAAAUGGAUUUCCUUUGGUAAAGCAGAAGCUUAACUGAGACAACACAGUGUUUUAACACACUUUUAAAGUAAUAAAAAUUGUUGUUGAGGCUCUGCA